AACAUUCUCAAUAUCCAAGGAUGCAUGCCAAAAGAAAACAACUGGACAUAGUACAGCAAUGCUUUAAAAUGUAAAAUGACAUUUUACAUUUUUUGGCAUGCAUCCUUGGAUAUUGAGUAUGUUUA
RNAcentral lists this microRNA precursor (125 nucleotides) under Pelobates cultripes (western spadefoot toad). The record is from RNAcentral. Lineage: Eukaryota; Metazoa; Chordata; Amphibia; Anura; Pelobatidae.